This 253-nucleotide ribosomal RNA is filed under the name uncultured bacterium. RNAcentral's name for it is "partial 16S ribosomal RNA". It matches the Rfam family "Bacterial small subunit ribosomal RNA", at positions 524 to 776 of the family's 1533-position model. The record is from RNAcentral.
UACGUAGGGUGCAAGCGUUAAUCGGAAUUACUGGGCGUAAAGCGUGCGUAGGCGGUUUGUUAAGUCUGUUGUGAAAUCCCCGGGCUCAACCUGGGAAUGGCAAUGGAUACUGGCAAGCUAGAGUGUGAUAGAGGAUGGUGGAAUUCCCGGUGUAGCGGUGAAAUGCGUAGAGAUCGGGAGGAACAUCAGUGGCGAAGGCGGCCAUCUGGAUCAACACUGACGCUGAGGCACGAAAGCGUGGGGAGCAAACAGG